This 1131-nucleotide long non-coding RNA is filed under the name Linum usitatissimum (flax). RNAcentral's name for it is "long non-coding RNA (LUSI_LNC007376)". The record is from RNAcentral. Lineage: Eukaryota; Viridiplantae; Streptophyta; Magnoliopsida; Malpighiales; Linaceae.
CUAAGGAGAAAAGGUUAAAUUUAAUUGCAAUCUGUUAUGAACAUAAUUAUAGUAAAUGUCCAAUUGUGUAACUCCUCAUUCUAUGGUUAAUGUAUUUUAUUCCCUUCCUUUAUGUGUAUGAUUUAAUGUAUUUUAUUCUCCUCUGUUAUGUGUAAUAAUGUUAGAAAAUGUAGGUUAUGAUUUCAUGAGCUUAUAAAUAGAGUUCUCAUUUGUAACAUUCUACACACCUCAAUAAAAAAGUAUUUCUCCUCUCAUGUUUUUGUUCUCUCUUUUGUUCGUAGUUUUAUAACACAAUCCAAUUAAGUUAAUUCCGGACAAAUUUCGGUUAGAUUGUAUCGAUUUAGGUGUCAUUCCAUGUAAAAAGACAAUUUUGCACCUGGACAUUUAUUGAGCAUGCUGAUCAGUCAAACUUGGUUCGAUUCAAAAUCGAAUCGGCUGGGUCAAUAGUGGCGGUUGGACUGACUGGUCAAACUCGAGUUGAUUUAGAAGUCCAAUUAGUUGGGUCAGUUAGUAAGGCAGAUAGGUCAGAUUUUAGAUCUAUUAGAGGAUCAUUUUCGCCUUUUCAAAUUUGAUUCUUUCGACAUAGAAAUGAUUUUAGAUCGGUCAGUCCCUUAGGAUAUAGGCCUGUCCCAUCUCACAGAUCAUGGCCAUCUUCAUCGACCCUGAAUCACGGACGUAAACGAGAUUAGGGAACGCAAUCAGGAAAGAGGAGAAGGAGUAGAAGGCGAUUUCAUACCAUACCUGCUCGCUCCUCCCCGUAAACUUGACUAAAGCCGGAUUCGAACUCCUCCAUCUACUCUCUUUGGUCGCUCAUCUUGAUGGAUUCCCCUUCCUGAGUAUUAGUCGCUGAAAUUAGAAGAUUAGGAAGCGAGUGAGUUAGAAUUGAGCGGAUUUGACAAAAGGUUUAGAUCCAGAAGGAAACUAAGAGAGGAAGGGGAGAUCGUAACCAUACGUACCCGAGGGAGAUUCGCCAGGUGGGAGGGUCGAGCUAAUUCCAUUGGUGGGAGUCUAGAUCAGAGGAGGCCACUGCUAGUUCAAGCGAGAAAGGAUGAGAGGAUUUUGGGUGUGAGGCGGCUGUAGAGAGGAGGAUAUGAGAGAAAGCCCUUUUCUCCUAGGGUUACACGAUUUAGA